AACGAACGCUGGCGGCAUGCCUAACACAUGCCAGUCGAACGAGACCUUCGGGUCUAGUGGCGCACGGGUGCGUAACGCGUGGGAACCUGCCCUUAGGUUCGGAAUAACUCCCCGAAAGGGGUGCUAAUACCGGAUAAUGUCUUCGGACCAAAGAUUUAUCGCCUUUGGAUGGGCCCGCGUUGGAUUAGCUAGUUGGUAGGGUAAAAGCCUACCAAGGCGACGAUCCAUAGCUGGUCUGAGAGGAUGAUCAGCCACACUGGGACUGAGACACGGCCCAGACUCCUACGGGAGGCAGCAGUAGGGAAUAUUGGACAAUGGGCGAAAGCCUGAUCCAGCAAUGCCGCGUGAGUGAUGAAGGCCUUAGGGUUGUAAAGCUCUCUUACCCGGGAUGAUAAUGACAGUACCGGGUGAAUAAGCUCCGGCUAACUCCGUG
This 433-nucleotide ribosomal RNA is filed under the name uncultured bacterium. RNAcentral describes it as "partial 16S ribosomal RNA". It matches the Rfam family "Bacterial small subunit ribosomal RNA", at positions 29 to 507 of the family's 1533-position model. The record is from RNAcentral.